UAUUAUUCCCCCCCAUUUCCCCCCUGAUAACCAUAAAUUUGUUUUCUGCAUCUGUGAUUUUGUUUCGGAAACCACUGUGAGUCUUACAGGAAUCUAUCUUAUAUGGCCUUUGUUGUUGUGGCUCAGUCGCUAAAUCUUGUCUGAUUCUUUGCGACCCCAUGGACUGCAGCAUGCCAGGCUUCCCUGUCCUUCACUAUCUCCUGGAGUUUGCUCAAGCUGGUGUCCACUGAAUCAGUAAUGCCAUCCAACCAUCUCAU
Molecule: long non-coding RNA, 257 nt
Organism: Cervus elaphus (red deer)
Lineage: Eukaryota; Metazoa; Chordata; Mammalia; Artiodactyla; Cervidae
Exons: 4
Source: RefSeq, a predicted model, not a curated record